Molecule: non-coding RNA, 94 nt
Filed under: uncultured eukaryote
Lineage: Eukaryota
Source: RNAcentral
CCCUUGCCUACCCCUGAGCGGACGGACACCAUGGGAAACGGCGCGAGCAAGGAGGAGUCCAGGGCUACGCUAGGCGGUUGUGUGGCGGCAUGUC